Molecule: ribosomal RNA, 1373 nt
Filed under: uncultured bacterium
Lineage: Bacteria
Description: partial 16S ribosomal RNA
Rfam family: Bacterial small subunit ribosomal RNA
Source: RNAcentral
GAUGAACGCUGGCGGUCUGCCUAAUACGUGCACCUCCAGCUAACGGACGAUAAGCUUGCUUCUCUGAUGUUAGCGGCCGACGGUCCGAGUAUCACAUGCAUAACCUACCUAUAAUACUGGUCAUAUCUUCCGGAAACCUCAGCUAAUACCGGAGAAUAUUUUGAACCGCCUGGUACAUAAGGGAAAUACGGACUUGCUGUCACUUAUACAUGGAUCCGCGCUGCAUUAGCUAGUUGGUAAGGUAACGGCUUACCAAUGAUGCGAUGCUUACCCAACCUGAGAGGUCGAUCGGCCACUCUGGAACUGAUACCCGGACCAGACUCCUACAGGUGCCUGCACCACGUGAUCUUCCGCCCUGGACGAAAGCCUGACCUAUCAACGUCUCGUAAGUGAUGAAGGUCUUCGGAUCGUCAUCCUCUGUUCUCAAGGAAGAACAUAUGCGCCACUGACUGUGCACAUCUUGACCGAAUCUAUUCAGAUACCCACUUGUAACUACACGCCACCAGCCGCGUGAAUACUGAGGUGGCUGCCGCUCUCCGGAAUUAUAGACCGCACAGCUCGCGUAUGCGGUUUUUUAGUCUGAUGUGAAAUCCCACGGCUCGACUGUGAACGGGCAUUGGAUACUGGAAAACUUGAGUGCUAAAGAGGAAAGUGGAAUUCCAUGUGUAGCGGUGAAAUGCGCAGAGAUAUGGAGGAACACCAGUGGCGAAGGCGACUUUCUGGUCUGUAACUGACGCUGAUGUGCGAAAGCGUGGGGAUCAAACAGGAUUAGAUACCCUGGUAGUCCACGCCGUAAACGAUGAGUGCUAAAUGUGAGGGGGUUUCCGCCCCUUAGUGCUGCAGCUAACGCAUUAAGCACUCCGCCUGGGGAGUACGACCGCAAGGUUGAAACUCAAAGGAAUUGACGGGGACCCGCACAAGCGGUGGAGCAUGUGGUUUAAUUCGAAGCUACGCGAAGAACCUUACCAAAUCUUGACAUCCUUUGACAACUCUAGAGAUAGAGCCUUCCCCUUCGAGGGACAAAGUGACAGGUGGUGCAUGGCUGUCGUCCGCUCCUGUCGAGAGAUGUUGGGUUAAGUCCCGCAACGAGCGCCCCCCUGAAUCUUACUUGCCAUCAUUAGGUUGCGCACUCUGAAUUGACUGCCGCUGACCAAACGAAGGAAGGUGCGAAUGACAUCCAAUCUGCAUGCCCCGUAUGGUUUGGGCUACGCACUUGCUUGGAUGUGCCAUACGGCGGGCCACUAACCCUCUAGGUCGAAUCCCUCCCCUAUAUCUGUUCUCAGAUCGGAUUGUGGUCUGCAACUCCACUACAUGCAGACUUGAUCGCUAGUAAUCGUAGAUCACUGUGCUGCAGUGCAUACCUUGCCGUGGCU